RNAcentral lists this long non-coding RNA (288 nucleotides) under Linum usitatissimum (flax). Its description in RNAcentral is "long non-coding RNA (LUSI_LNC000847)". The record is from RNAcentral. Lineage: Eukaryota; Viridiplantae; Streptophyta; Magnoliopsida; Malpighiales; Linaceae.
GGAGGUAGUACUCCGGUGAACCACUACCAAACACCCACCACCUCCACCUCUCCAGCCGGUUUUCCGCCCACCCCAAGAAAACUAGUCGGAGGAGGAAGAUCAAGCGACGGCGUCGUUCAGCGCGUUGACCGCGGCAGCAGCAACAAGAACACAGCGGAAACGGCGCCGUCGCCGGAUAAUAAUAAUAAUUAUAAGGCGGCUACCGCUGGAGCUCCUCCUGCAGCUCCUAGAAUAAAGAUAUUCAGACUUGCGGACUUGAAGAGCGCGACGAGGAAUUUCAGGCCGGAC